GCCGGGCGUCGUGGCGGGCGCCUGUAGUCCCAGCUACUUGGGAGGCUGAGGCAGGAGACUCGCUUGAGCCCAGGAGUUGGAGGUUGCUGUGAGCUGCGAUGCCACAGCACUCUACCCAGGGCAAUAGCCUGAGGCUCUGUCUCCA
This 145-nucleotide non-coding RNA is filed under the name Otolemur garnettii (small-eared galago). The record is from Rfam by way of RNAcentral. Lineage: Eukaryota; Metazoa; Chordata; Mammalia; Primates; Galagidae.